RNAcentral lists this ribosomal RNA (520 nucleotides) under uncultured bacterium. RNAcentral's name for it is "bacterial SSU rRNA". It matches the Rfam family "Bacterial small subunit ribosomal RNA", at positions 120 to 674 of the family's 1533-position model. The record is from RNAcentral.
GGGAACAUACCCUUUUCUACGGAAUAGCUCUGGGAAACUGGAAUUAAUACCGUAUACGCCCUACGGGGGAAAGAUUUAUCGGGGAAGGAUUGGCCCGCGUUGGAUUAGCUAGUUGGUGGGGUAAAGGCCUACCAAGGCGACGAUCCAUAGCUGGUCUGAGAGGAUGAUCAGCCACAUUGGGACUGAGACACGGCCCAAACUCCUACGGGAGGCAGCAGUGGGGAAUAUUGGACAAUGGGCGCAAGCCUGAUCCAGCCAUGCCGCGUGAGUGAUGAAGGCCUUAGGGUUGUAAAGCUCUUUCACCGAUGAAGAUAAUGACGGUAGUCGGAGAAGAAGCCCCGGCUAACUUCGUGCCAGCAGCCGCGGUAAUACGGAGGGGGCUAGCGUUGUUCGGAAUUACUGGGCGUAAAGCGCACGUAGGCGGAUAUUUAAGUCAGGGGUGAAAUCCCAGAGCUCAACUCUGGAACUGCCUUUGAUACUGGGUAUCUUGAGUAUGGAAGAGGUAAGUGGAAUUGCGAGU